Quercus robur (English oak) is the source of this 2827-nucleotide RNA transcript. It is a transcript of the gene named protein MLN51 homolog, with no coding region annotated. The record is from RefSeq and is a predicted model, not a curated record. NCBI's taxonomy places the organism in Eukaryota, Viridiplantae, Streptophyta, Magnoliopsida, Fagales, Fagaceae. The transcript is spliced from 11 exons.
AGAGAUUCAUUUCUCUCCGGUUAGCAACAGACAAAAAUAAAACACUGAAACUCUCGCGCCCUUCGCUUCCUUCGUAAACAAGCUCUGCACAGUAACAGCAAAUCAAGAACCAAACAAGAAAAACACAACCAAAAAAAAAAACUCUCACUCUCAGAGAGCUCUCACCAAGCUCUCUGCAUCUGCUCUAAAAACUCGUGGAAAUUCAAAAAUUGCUUUAACUAAGAAGCGAGGGAAAAAUAAAAUACCGUGUGUUUUGGAAAUGGAUUCUUGGAAUUUUUUAGGGUUUGAUUAGAGACUAGGAAUUUAGAAAUAGGAAUCAAUGGCUGAUAUGGAAGAAAAGAAAGUGCAAGAAGAAGAGGAAGCGGAGUACGAGAGCGAUUCGGAGGCGGCGUUGCAGUGGGCAGCGCGGAGAAGAGAAGCGAGUGACGAAGAUGAGAGCGAGAAGGAAGGUAUAGAGAGGUUUCGGGUGGUUAGGAUUGGCGGCGAAGAUGGAUCGGACGGUCUUGAUGGAGCUCCAGAGUACUAUGACCAAGAGUCUUAUGGAGACGAGGUUGGAGAAGAAAUGGAAGAAGUUGAGGUGGAGGAGCGUGAAGCGCAAGGUAGUGUUGGUAAUGAAGAUGAAGAUAGGGUUUCGGAGGUGGUGGUUGUGAACCAGGAAAGAGAGGAGGUUCUUGAUGUUCCGAGAGUGGGAAAGUUUUACAUGCACGACGAUAGGUUUGGAGGCAAACGCCGUGGCCGUCAUUGGUACUCCAAGAGUACUCCUGGUAGAGUGGACUUGUGGAAGCCUCAAGAUGAACAGCAGUGGAAGCAUGACAAGUUUGAACAGAUGACUCUGCCAGAAACACGCAUUAAGGAACUUCAUGGUAGUUGGAUUCCUAAGGGUCAUCAUCAAGGACACAUAAAGGAUCAAGGCAAAGGCCGUGGGUACAUAAGAGCUAACCAGUAUAGACCCCAUGAUAACUUUGUAAAUCAAGAUGAUUCAUUAAGAAUUGUAAGGGGGAGGGGACCUGUUAGGUAUAGACCUGAUUUGUGGAGAAACCAUGUAAGAAUUGUAGGGGGAAGAGGGGCUAUAAGGUCUAAGCCUUUUAUGAAGAGCAGCGAUGUAGUCCCUCCAACAAAGUAUGAAAGCUCUGGAAAGUUCAGAGGAAGUACUUCUGAUACUAAUUCAGCCAGAAUGUUAUCACACUCUUCAAAUAUUCAGUCUGAUUCACUUGCCUCAAAGAAUCUUAUUUCUGCAUCAUCUUUGGGUUCUGCUUCUCCUUUGUUUACCAUUGUGAGCUCUUCUAGUCACGAGGAGUCUUUGAAACAGAAAAUAAAUGCACAUGGAAGAUCCAAUAGAUAUCAUCCGACUUUUGUGCCAUGGGAUGAUACUAAAUGUUCCAACACAUCUCUGCAAGGGAAAACUUUAGCUGAUUCUUUUGACUGGGAUAAGCUUUCCAUUGAGGAUUCCUCUCAGACAGUUGCGGAGAAUUAUUUGACCAAUCUGCAUUUGCAGUCUCCAAUGGCCUGUGCAAAAUAUAUGGUUGAAUCUCCCCAGCUGAAGGGUCAGAGAAGCAGUUUCUCUCUCUCAAAAAAGAAUUCUCAUCAGUCAAACCCAUCUUCUAAUCAAGUUAAUAGAGAUCCUCUGCAAGCACGGCCCCUUGUUGUUCAACAAAGGUCCACUGAAAGCACAGUUCAACCUCCUGUACAACUUUAUACUCAGCAGUUGCAUCCUGGAAGUAGAUCUCAACCAUCAUCUGAGUCUUGGUCACCAUAUUCAUCUGAACCAGUAAUGUUGGAUUCUCUACCAAAAUCGGGUAAAACAGAAGUCGCGUUGGUUGGAAAAGAAAGCGGUGCAGUUCAAGCAAGCAAAAGAGGUUCCUUUCAAUAUGAUGGAACUAUUGCUCAUCAUAACAAUGCUGCCAAUCCAUCACUUCUGCCUGGUCUGCAAUUUGGGGGUCUGCAUCAUGGUGGUCUUGCUGAUCCUGCUGUUUGUAUGGCUUUCCCUGGAUAUGUUGGUCAAUCCCAAGUUGGAUUUGGAAAUUCUGAGAUUACAUGUAUAAGCAUCCUAAGAAUUGAGGGUGUUCUCUCCAGGUUACCAGUCCUCACAGGUUCUGCUGGAACUAUUGGUGCUGCAUAUCCUUCUCCCCAUGUUACUCUUGAUGAUGGUUACGCGGCUCAUUUUCCAGGGCAGUUGUCUUCUGUUGGUGUCUCUAGAAAUAUAGCAGGCACAAACAAACGUAGUGAGGGCAAUAGGCAUCCAGAUAGAAGUGAAAAUUUGAGUGAUGAACCUUCUAAGCGACACUUCAAACCUCGGAGAUAUUCAGAGAUGAACUUUAACAAGGAAAGAGAAUAAAGUAGAUUGUUUGAGAAUCAGACCCUCCCUGUUCUUGAUCUCCAUCCAUAUUUAAUUCUGGUUGCUACAAGUUGUGGUUUAUUUUCAACUAUUUUAGCUCUACAAGAAAUGCCUACACCAUGAUGCAGUUAAUUGAGUCGAACCAUUGUUGAAUUGGCGAGCAACUUUAUCUUCAUAUAUACAUGGCAAAUCCUUGGGUUAGUGUUCCCUGUACAGCGAAUAUGGAUUUAAGGCCUAAAAAUGCUUGGAAAGAUUUGGACUAUGUGCAAAAUUAUGAUUCUGGUCUAGUGCUUAUUCCCUUUCUAAGAUCUCCUUCACCCUUUUGCCCCCAGAUUGAUAUGAAAGCGUAUUAGAAUUUAGAAAAGAGAGAAAAAGAGCAGACUAUACAGUUGUUACUUGAAAUUGCGUUAGAACUUGCUGAUGCUGUCACCGCAUUAAUGUUUUGUUUUGGUGCUUAAGAUUCAUAUAUGCAAAAAGUAUGAUGUUUUGACA